AGCGUUGGGGAAACAUGCUCAACUUCCAGCAGUCAUUCCCGCUCGCCUCCUUUCUCUUUGCUCGAGGUCUUCGGUUCAGGCUCCACAACUGAUUGAUGCUGUUUUCCUGUUAGUAUCUCUUUUUCAUCAUGCACGAUCCUCCAUAGUGAUGGAAUGGAGACAGCUUCUCAGAGAAAGCACAGCUUUGGAAGGUAAGUGCCGUUUGGAUGGUGAGACCAUCAGAUCAAUUUAACUAGGCCAAGACUCUGAUCAAUGUUCUUAAACCUAUGUAACCCACUGCCACAGAGAUUUCAAAGUGAGGAAGGGUCCUGGACGCCCAUUCAUCCAUUCUCAAUGAAUUAUUCAUUUGACCAGCACUUUCUGACUUUCUAGCUUCAGCCAGACACCGUACAAGGGACAGGGGAGACUGAGAUGAAGAACACUCGGUGCUUCUUCCCAAGGCACUCGCAAUCUCGGAGAAGACAGAUGUGUACUCACACAGAUGCAUAUGCUACAGCACUGUGUGAUGAUGCUAUACAUGCACAAAGUGACCGGGAACAGAGCGGCCGUCCCUGGCGACUCA
Molecule: long non-coding RNA, 562 nt
Filed under: Homo sapiens (human)
Lineage: Eukaryota; Metazoa; Chordata; Mammalia; Primates; Hominidae
Description: novel transcript
Source: RNAcentral